This 484-nucleotide ribosomal RNA is filed under the name uncultured bacterium. RNAcentral's name for it is "partial 16S ribosomal RNA". It matches the Rfam family "Bacterial small subunit ribosomal RNA", at positions 30 to 507 of the family's 1533-position model. The record is from RNAcentral.
AUUGAACGCUGGCGGCAGGCCUAACACAUGCAAGUCGAGCGGAUGAAGGGAGCUUGCUCCUGGAUUCAGCGGCGGACGGGUGAGUAAUGCCUAGGAAUCUGCCUGGUAGUGGGGGAUAACGUCCGGACACGGGCGCUAAUACCGCAUACGUCCUGAGGGAGAAAGUGGGGGAUCUUCGGACCUCGCGCUAUCAGCUGAGCCUAGGUCGGAUUAGCUAGUUGGUUGGGUAAAGGCCUACCAAGGCGACGAUCCGUAACUGAUCUGAGAGGAUGAUCAGUCACACUGGAACUGAGACACGGUCCAGACUCCUACGGGAGGCAGCAGUGGGGAAUAUUGGACAAUGGGCGAAAGCCUGAUCCAGCAAUGCCGCGUGUGUGAAGAAGGUCUUCGGAUUGUAAAGCACUUUAAGUUGGGAGGAAGGGCAGUAAGUUAAUACCUUGCUGUUUUGACGUUACCAACAGAAUAAGCACCGGCUAACUUCGUG